GCCGCAGCUUGUUGCGCCGCCGUCUGGACGUCCUCGACGCUCGAGCUGGCCGGUCGGGGCAGGGAGUGGGCCAGCUCCGGGAAGUUGAGUUGGGCCCCACCCUCAAGCCCACGGAGGUACAAUGCGGCCGUGUCGUCCGCUGGCCCGCCCCUAUCUAGGCUGCCGCUGCCAUUUCGGGAGUGGCGUAGCUGCCGAGCCAUAUCCGGGUCUUCUUACCCGGUUCCCGGAUUUCGGAGACCCAUUUCCCCCAUUUCCUCUGCCGUACACCUCUGUACCUCCUUGAUGCUGCACCAGCGCCGCCAUGAUCAUUGAUCCCACAAUCCUCCAUAUAUGUCACCAGCUAAUUAAUUGGAUUAGACUUUCUGUACAGUACUAGGAUUGAAGUACGUAUAUCAUGUAAGGAUGAAUUGACUCGUUAAAUGGGUAACAUUACGUUGUAUAUAUAGAGAGGAAAAUGGAUGUGACAAUUUAAUAAUAAUGCAUUCCAUGCAUUAUUGAUCAGAUAUUCAAUUUAAU
RNAcentral lists this long non-coding RNA (516 nucleotides) under Linum usitatissimum (flax). Its description in RNAcentral is "long non-coding RNA (LUSI_LNC007739)". Lineage: Eukaryota; Viridiplantae; Streptophyta; Magnoliopsida; Malpighiales; Linaceae. The record is from RNAcentral.